RNAcentral lists this ribosomal RNA (260 nucleotides) under Ehrlichia chaffeensis. Its description in RNAcentral is "partial 16S ribosomal RNA". It matches the Rfam family "Bacterial small subunit ribosomal RNA", at positions 125 to 401 of the family's 1533-position model. Lineage: Bacteria; Pseudomonadati; Pseudomonadota; Alphaproteobacteria; Rickettsiales; Anaplasmataceae. The record is from RNAcentral.
UCUACCUAGUAGUAUGGAAUAGCCAUUAGAAAUGAUGGGUAAUACUGUAUAAUCCCUGCGGGGGAAAGAUUUAUCGCUAUUAGAUGAGCCUACGUUAGAUUAGCUAGUUGGUAAGGUAAUGGCUUACCAAGGCUAUGAUCUAUAGCUGGUCUGAGAGGACGAUCAGCCACACUGGAACUGAGAUACGGUCCAGACUCCUACGGGAGGCAGCAGUGGGGAAUAUUGGACAAUGGGCGAAAGCCUGAUCCAGCUAUGCCGCG